GAGGACAUAGCUCAGUGGUAGAGAGUGUGUUUAGCACGCACAAGGUCCAGGGUUCAAUCCUGGUACCUCCA
Molecule: transfer RNA, 71 nt
Filed under: Camelus bactrianus (Bactrian camel)
Lineage: Eukaryota; Metazoa; Chordata; Mammalia; Artiodactyla; Camelidae
Also listed under: 1 other name
Rfam family: tRNA
About the family: Transfer RNA (tRNA) molecules are approximately 80 nucleotides in length. Their secondary structure includes four short double-helical elements and three loops (D, anti-codon, and T loops).
Source: Rfam by way of RNAcentral